This is a non-coding RNA of Chelonoidis abingdonii (Abingdon island giant tortoise), 125 nucleotides long. Lineage: Eukaryota; Metazoa; Chordata; Testudines; Testudinidae. The record is from RefSeq and is a predicted model, not a curated record.
AGAAUCUAAAUGCCCUAGUGCAGGGGUGCUCAGACUUCAUUGCAUCAUGACCCUCUUCCGACAACAAAAAUUACUUCACGACCCCAGGAUGGGGAACAGAAGCCUGAGCCCACCGAGCCCCACUG